RNAcentral lists this long non-coding RNA (758 nucleotides) under Sinocyclocheilus grahami. RNAcentral's name for it is "lncRNA (ENSSGRG00000034586.1)". The record is from RNAcentral. Lineage: Eukaryota; Metazoa; Chordata; Actinopteri; Cypriniformes; Cyprinidae.
AAAGAAAAAUCUAUAAUUUUGACCCAUACAAUGUAUUUUUGGCUAUUGCUACAAAUAUACCCCAGCGACUUAAGACUGGUUGUGUGCUCCAGGGUCACAUAUAUUAAUAUUUUUUUGUUUCUGUUUCGUUAGGAUUUUGAAAUGCUUCAUCCAGGCCAGAAGCUCCCUGAGGGCCCCGCUCUCUCUUUACUGCUGGAACGAGGUGCGUGUGAUUUCCCUCUGAUGGAUACUCGCUCUGUCCAUCGUGUCCAGUGUAUAUGGAUGUGUAUGAUGAUAACGGUUCUGUCUCCAGCAGGCUGCGGUGUGUGAUUGUGUAUGUGUGGUUCAGGAGGUAAUGGUGGCAGGUACGGGAUAUUUUAAAGCUCUCUCCGAUGGGACUGUCGAGGUCUUGUUUCUGGAUGGAGUUAGAGCGCAGAUGAUGUGGAAGUCCGACACGUAUACACCUGCACAGUGUGGAGAAAUGGAACAGAAACUCAGGGCAGAAACCAGACCAUCUUACAGGUGGUGCCAGCUCAAUUUGCCAGAUGGGCACCAAACUCUUGUCCAAGUUGAGACAGACCAAACUUAUCAAAGGUAUGUGUCGGCAGUAGUGCAGUGGUGUGACUGGGUAAAGCAGACAGAUCAGAGCAUGAGUGCAGUGGGCGUGACUCUCUCAGACUCCGCCCAUUGUGACACACCUCAGCCAAUAACGUACAGGUAUUAAGGAACUCUUAUUCCCUGGAUCAUUAUUUAUUAUUAUAUUCAUUUGCAUCACAUGA